UCCUUCUUUGAUCUUAUAGUUAUGUAAAAUUUAAUUAAACAUAAUUUUGAUUUGAUUUCAACAUUAAACUAAUCACAAUGAUAUUCCAGCCUAUGGUGUGUCCAACACAAUGUUGCAACCUAGCUCAAGGCUAACCUAGCAUGUACACCAUAUUUCUUAUAGAGCCAACUAGUGCAGAUGCUGCCCAUGCCCCCUUAGUUAUGUUAAAGUCAUG
Molecule: long non-coding RNA, 214 nt
Filed under: Elaeis guineensis (African oil palm)
Lineage: Eukaryota; Viridiplantae; Streptophyta; Magnoliopsida; Arecales; Arecaceae
Description: long non-coding RNA (EGUI_LNC027865)
Source: RNAcentral